Non-coding RNA from Gossypium arboreum, 184 nucleotides. The record is from Rfam. Lineage: Eukaryota; Viridiplantae; Streptophyta; Magnoliopsida; Malvales; Malvaceae.
AAUAACCAAAUAUAACACUUGGGCUAAGAGUCAAGUUGGUAAUUUUUCUUACAUCUCCCCCUCCUGAAGCCUAGGUAUUGUAUACACCCAAAAAAACCGCCUUGAAUACUAGAAGAAAAGCACCAAUACAUAGAAAAAUUAAGUGAAUACCUAAAAUUAUGGUAAUUUUAUUUCUAUCUUUCCA